UGCGUAGGCGGGCUAAUAAGUCAGUGGUGAAAUCUUCCGGCUCAACCGGGAACCUGCCAUUGAUACUGUUAGUCUUGAGUUCGGCUGAGGUAGGCGGAAUGUGUAAUGUAGCGGUGAAAUGCUUAGAUAUUACACAGAACACCAAUUGCGUAGGCAGCUUACUAGACCGACACUGACGCUGAGGCACGAAAGCGUGGGGAGCGAACAGGAUUAGAUACCCUGGUAGUCCC
This 230-nucleotide ribosomal RNA is filed under the name uncultured bacterium. RNAcentral's name for it is "partial 16S ribosomal RNA". It matches the Rfam family "Bacterial small subunit ribosomal RNA", at positions 568 to 797 of the family's 1533-position model. The record is from RNAcentral.